RNAcentral lists this long non-coding RNA (1012 nucleotides) under Sus scrofa (pig). RNAcentral's name for it is "lncRNA (ENSSSCG00030064874.1)". The record is from RNAcentral. Lineage: Eukaryota; Metazoa; Chordata; Mammalia; Artiodactyla; Suidae.
CUCAAGAAAUAGGAUGUGGCUGUGAUUCAGGAAGUCUAGGGAGGAUUCUGAGUAUCCUCAUCUUUCAUAAAGCUCCAGUGGCAUUCCUGACAUGCUUUUCCAGCUGAGAACUGCUGCCCGAAGUCAUUCUCUCUACAGCUUUGCUCCAUUCCUCACUUGUUACCAAAUGGACAUUCCCCACUAUGAAGGAGAGGACAUUUCAGCUAUGAGACCUGGGAACCUUCGAAAGCAAAAAAACAACUAACCAACCAACCAACCAACCAAAGAAGAGGAGAUUAGGACACAGAAGCACAGAGGAAAGACAGAAGGAGAAGGUGGGCCUCUGCAAGCCAAGGAGAGAAGCCUCAGAAUGAAACCAAAACUGCUCACACCUUGAUCUUAGACUUUGAGAUUCCAGAACUAAGGGGAAAUAAAUUUCUGCUGUUUAAGCCACCCAGUCUGUGGUAUUUUAUUAUGGUAACCCUAGGAAACUAAUACAAUAUUUCGGAUGAUUAUUGCAUCACAAUCUUCUAUUGGUAAAAAUUUGCCUCCCAAAAUAAAGAACACUUACUCUCACACAGAAGUUCCAAACUCCCUUCCAAACAGGUAGAAGUUAAGUCUCUGUCUAAAACUCUACUGUCUAAUACGUUAGCCAAUUGUGACUCCUGAGAACUUGCUUUGUGGCCAAUGUGGCUAAGAAGCUAAAUUUUUAAUUUUAAGUAAUUUUAAGGCCAGCUUUCCAUCAAGCAUAACCAUUUACAGAGAUGCCAAAUCUACCCACAGUGGAAACAAACAGUUGCAUUAUUUGCAUUACAGUGUUUUUCAUUACCUUCUUUCCACUCCAGAAUUAUAUUUUGUUUGACUUUGAACAACCAAAGGGCCACUGAGAUAUGUUCACAAUGUCAAAAAGCAAGCCCUCUGCUCCCCAAAUAUGAAUUUAAACUUUUACCUUUGACAAAUCAAAACUUCCUGACAUUUUAAAAUAUCCUUCUUCAUACUUUCAGCCACUGAAUUUUUUUUUUUCUUUUUCUUU